GGUAUCGCUAUGGCCGGGGUGGCUUCUGGGCUCUGUGGUAGCCAGAAAACGUCUGCAGAGUCCGUUCCAAGGUGUCUGCAGAGCCGCAGAAGUCGUUCCAAGGUGUCUAUGAGGGAAAAAGGUGACAGGGAGAUGACAAGAAGUCUUGCUUGCUCCUGAUGCUUUGGUCUGCUGCUGCAGAGAUGCUGUAUGCUUCCCCUGCUGCAGUGGUCAUGAAGUUUGUGUAUAAAUGGGACUGCUUCAUAUGCAGCAAGGGGUUUGCCUGGGUAUGUAUCGUCUGUUUUGGUAAGGGAAAAGAUUUGCCUGCUUACGGGAUCUAGGAACUCAAAUAUCUGUGGGAUUUCCUAAGUCCUUGCUAAAGAUCGUCGGUGCGAUACCACAGUGGUCAGGAUAUCAGCUGCCUCCAAAGUCUGUAAAGGGGAAAAUUGGGCAUUCUCCAAAAACUGCUGUUGGUAGGAUUGAUUCCUUGAUGAUAAAUGUGGAUAUUUGCUGAAUUUUCAGAAAGAAAUAAGAACCUGCCAUUGUGCCAUCAGGCUGGAUGUCAGUAUCUUACACAGGGAAAUGGAAUAAUGCAUCUUACUGUUGGAAGGAAGAAUCUGAAAUCGUAUUUGAGGAGGCAGUCAUCAUGCAUGCAGACACCAUUUACAACACACGAGGAGCAGACUCCACCUCUAACUUUGGAGUCUGCUUGAGUAAAAUCAUUUCUCCUCCCAUUCUGCCAAUCAUCAGCAAUUGUUUAACACUUCUGUAGUACUUCUUAAAUAAAGAAAGCCACAGCUAGUAACAGCAAAUUAAAAAGAUGUCAUCAACUGAAGUAAAAUUCUCCCUGAAUUACUGAA
Molecule: long non-coding RNA, 839 nt
Organism: Cygnus olor (mute swan)
Lineage: Eukaryota; Metazoa; Chordata; Aves; Anseriformes; Anatidae
Exons: 5
Source: RefSeq, a predicted model, not a curated record